UCCGUAGGCGGUGUGGCAAGUCGGAAGUGAAAUCUCUGGGCUUAACUCAGAGGCUGCUUCCGAAACUGCCGUGCUAGAGUGCGAGAGAGGCAAGUGGAAUUGCGGGUGUAGCGGUGAAAUGCGUAGAUAUCCGCAGGAACAUCCGAGGCGAAAGCGGCUUGCUGGAUCGCAACUGACGCUGAGGGACGAAAGCUAGGGGAGCAAACAGGAUUAGAUACCCUGGUAGUCCUAGCCCUAAACCAUCAGGACUUGGGGUUUGCCCUGUACGGGGCAAGUCCCGUAGCUAACGCGUUAAGUCCUGCGCCUGGGGAGUACGGUCGCAAGGCUGAA
Molecule: ribosomal RNA, 330 nt
Filed under: uncultured bacterium
Lineage: Bacteria
Description: bacterial SSU rRNA
Rfam family: Bacterial small subunit ribosomal RNA
Source: RNAcentral